RNAcentral lists this ribosomal RNA (415 nucleotides) under uncultured archaeon. RNAcentral's name for it is "partial 16S ribosomal RNA". It matches the Rfam family "Archaeal small subunit ribosomal RNA", at positions 330 to 747 of the family's 1478-position model. The record is from RNAcentral.
GCGCAGCAGGCGCGAAACCUCCGCAAUGCGCGAAAGCGUGACGGGGUCACCCCGAGUGCCAUCCGCUGAGGGUGGCUUUUGCCCGGUGUAACCAGCCGGGUGAAUAAGGGGAGGGCAAGUCUGGUGUCAGCCGCCGCGGUAAUACCAGCUCCUCGAGUGGUUGGGACGAUUAUUGGGUCUAAAGCGUCCGUAGCCGGCCGGAAAAGUUCUCCGUUAAAUCCAACGAUCCAAUCGUUGGGCUGCGGAGAAUACUCGCCGGCUUGGGGGCGGGGGAGGUCGGCGGUAGUCCCGGGGUAGGAGUGAAAUCCUCUGAUCCCGGGAGGACCUGCAGUGGCGAAGGCGGGUAGCCAGAACGCGCUCGACGGUGAGGGGCGAAAGCUGGGGGAGCGAACCGGAUUAGAUACCCGGGUAGUCC